GUGUCAGCAGCCUCGGUAAUACGUAGUUGUCAAGCGUUGUCCGGAAAAAUUGGGCGUAAAGGGCUCGCAGGCGGCUCCUUAAGUCUGAUGUGAAAGCCCGGGGCUCAACCCGGGAGGGUCAUUGGAAACUGGGGAACUUGAGUGCAGAAGAGGAGAGUGGAAUUCCACGUGUAGCGGUGAAAUGCGUAGAGAUGUGGAGGAACACCAGUGGCGAAGGCGACUCUCUGGUCUGUAACUGACGCUGAGGAGCGAAAGCGUGGGGAGCGAACAGGAUUAGAAACCCGAGUAGUCC
This 292-nucleotide ribosomal RNA is filed under the name uncultured prokaryote. RNAcentral describes it as "partial 16S ribosomal RNA". It matches the Rfam family "Bacterial small subunit ribosomal RNA", at positions 505 to 796 of the family's 1533-position model. The record is from RNAcentral.